Molecule: long non-coding RNA, 269 nt
Organism: Sinocyclocheilus anshuiensis
Lineage: Eukaryota; Metazoa; Chordata; Actinopteri; Cypriniformes; Cyprinidae
Exons: 5
Source: RefSeq, a predicted model, not a curated record
AACGCUUCCUUGUGUGUUUCUCUAGGGAGACGAAGGCCCCCCGGGUCCACCUGGAAAGCCUGGUCCCACUGGCCGAAUUGGUCGGAAAGGAUUCAUUGGUGAACCAGGACCUGAAGGCCUGAAGGGAGAAAUUGGUGACCCAGGGAAUCCUGGGAAACACGGCCCCCCUGGUCCGGCGGGACUAAUUGGAAUAACCGGAGUGAUCGGACAACCUGGAGAAAAGGGCGAUCGAGGUCCUCCUGGUCCUUUGGGUCCUUCAGGAGAGAAAG